GUAUGCAAUCUACCUUGUACAGGGGAAUAGCCCAGAGAAAUUUGGAUUAAUGCCCCAUAGUAUAAUUGAAUCGCAUGGUUUAAUUAUUAAAGUUCCAACGGUACAAGAUGAGCAUGCGUCCCAUUAGUUAGUUGGUAAGGUAACGGCUUACCAAGACAAUGAUGGGUAGGGGUCCUGAGAGGGAGAUCCCCCACACUGGUACUGAGACACGGACCAGACUCCUACGGGAGGCAGCAGUGAGGAAUAUUGGUCAAUGGGCGCAAGCCUGAACCAGCCAUGCCGCGUGCAGGAAGACGGUCCUAUGGAUUGUAAACUGCUUUUAUACAGGAAGAAACCCUACCACGUGUGGUAGAUUGACGGUACUGUAGGAAUAAGGAUCGGCUAACUCCGUGCCAGCAGCCGCGGUAAUACGGAGGAUCCAAGCGUUAUCCGGAAUCAUUGGGUUUAAAGGGUCCGUAGGCGGUCUUAUAAGUCAGUGGUGAAAUCCCAUCGCUCAACGAUGGAACUGCCAUUGAUACUGUAAGACUUGAAUGCUUAGGAAGUAACUAGAAUAUGUAGUGUAGCGGUGAAAUGCUUAGAUAUUACAUGGAAUACCAAUUGCGAAGGCAGGUUACUACUAAGUGAUUGACGCUGAUGGACGAAAGCGUGGGGAGCGAACAGGAUUAGAUACCCUGGUAGUCCACGCCGUAAACGAUGGAUACUAGCUG
RNAcentral lists this ribosomal RNA (707 nucleotides) under uncultured Flavobacteriaceae bacterium. Its description in RNAcentral is "bacterial SSU rRNA". It matches the Rfam family "Bacterial small subunit ribosomal RNA", at positions 117 to 822 of the family's 1533-position model. The record is from RNAcentral. Lineage: Bacteria; Pseudomonadati; Bacteroidota; Flavobacteriia; Flavobacteriales; Flavobacteriaceae.